Molecule: long non-coding RNA, 1412 nt
Organism: Thrips palmi
Lineage: Eukaryota; Metazoa; Arthropoda; Insecta; Thysanoptera; Thripidae
Exons: 6
Source: RefSeq, a predicted model, not a curated record
GCAUGGCUCCCCCUCCCCCGUAACGUCACGAGCGACUCGAGGGUCCUGCGCCCUGGCGGCCGGGUGCAGAACUUCCCCGCCGGGACGCACCGCACCGACACCGACGCGGACGCCUGCAAGACGGAAAAGAAGACGGACGCGCGUGUUGUAUCCCAAAAGCGUUUAAUCUGAUUCUUUUUCCAAAAUUGAAGAGCCGCAAAAUCGUAUUAUUUGUGUUGUGAUCAUGGACGAACUGACCCGGCACAACUUGGGGUAUGGAGAAAUGUAUUCCACUGUUCGCAGGAAUCUGAUCCGGAUGGUUCUGAGACCCAAGGCCAGAGUGGUUCUGAGACCCAAUUUUCUGACGCCCACAGCCAGAGGAGUUCUGAGAGCCAGUCUUCUGGGGCCCAAGACGAGGAAACUAGUGGCCCAGACAUAAGUUCCCGGAACAUUGAAGGAACCGAAGACAGCAACCCACUUUGAGUAAACAAUAGAAAGAGGAAGGCUGCUCAGUCAUUAGACGAAAACACAAGAGGUCCGGAAACAUCACCUACGUCGAAUUCACAAUCUUCGUUUGUGGAGCAGGUCCUCAAUUGGGACAAGAGCAGAGGUGACAGGGUCACAGCCAACUAUUUUGGGCCUAACGGAAAGAGAAAACCACAGAGCAAUCAGUUCCUGGAUGCCACUCGUCAAAACAUCCCUGUGGAUUUGAUCAUUCGUUAUGAGUUUAGGGGGGGACUGCAAUGCUGACUUGUCUCCACACAGACUGAUCCAAAUCGCUGACUGCAUUUUCGAGCAUUUUACAAACGAAAAAAAGGGAAAGAGAGAACCACCGAGCUAACAGUUUCCUGGAUGCCACUCCACUCGUCAAAACAUCCCUGUGGAUUUGAUCAUUCGUUAUGAGUUUAGGGGGACUGCAAUGCUUACUUGUCUCCAAACUGACUGAUUUAAUUUGCUGGCUGCAUUUUGGAGCAUUUUCCAAACGAAAAAAGGGGUGAUUACUACAUUCCCUACAAAGCCAUCAGAGUGGACAAUAUAGUGUUUCGGAAGAAUCCUGCAAAUCGCAAACUGCAUCAUAAGUACCAGAAUCACGUGAAAGAUGUGAUCUCAGAUGGAACUCGAGACAGACGCAGAAAUAAUAAUAACUGAAGUACAUUUUUGAAAUGAAUUGUUUUUAAAUGUGUUACGUGUGUGUUUGUCAUUACUGUUUCUUACGUGUUAAAUUUGUUCAUAAUUUACAUAAGUUCCUGCGUUACCAUUAUCUUAUUUGUAUAAUUUUUCUCAUAGCGUGUAGGAUGUAGAUCUUGAAUGAUAAUCUUUCAUUUUUUAAAAGAGUUCCUGUGUGUUCAUCAUAAUUAUUUCUUUUGUAUUCAAAUUGUACAUAAUUUCCACAAGUUCGCACGUUGCCAUUGUCUUAUUUGUAUGAAUAUUCU